AAUAAAGACAUGGAAUACAUUGAAGCGUGUUUCACAUCGAUUCAUUCACAGUGACUGGAAAGCACAGAGGCUCUCAAACUUGAUCUUCUCAACAAUCAGCAUAUGUCCUCAUUUAAUGGCCCGCCUUCGAAUCAAGGACAUCGUCAUGAGGUUCGACAUUAAGAUCUAUAAACACAUUCCUCAAAUAGACCAUUAAAAGUUGCCUCCUUUUUUUUCAACCCACUAGUGGGGAAAAAAAUGGUAAGAACUGUGGUCAUUUCAUUUGAGCCCAAAACAGCAGCGCCAAUUGUUCUUGUGUGGUCGUUUAUU
Molecule: long non-coding RNA, 309 nt
Organism: Hippocampus comes (tiger tail seahorse)
Lineage: Eukaryota; Metazoa; Chordata; Actinopteri; Syngnathiformes; Syngnathidae
Exons: 3
Source: RefSeq, a predicted model, not a curated record